GUGGGGAAUAUUGCACAAUGGGCGAAAGCCUGAUGCAGCGACGCCGCGUGAGCGAUGAAGUAUUUCGGUAUGUAAAGCUCUAUCAGCAGGGAAGAAAAAAUGACGGUACCUGACUAAGAAGCUCCGGCUAAAUACGUGCCAGCAGCCGCGGUAAUACGUAUGGAGCAAGCGUUAUCCGGAUUUACUGGGUGUAAAGGGAGUGUAGGCGGUUUUAUAAGUCUGAUGUGAAAGCCCGCGGCUCAACCGCGGUACUGCAUUGGAAACUGUAGAACUAGAGUGUCGGAGAGGUAAGUGGAAUUCCUAGUGUAGCGGUGAAAUGCGUAGAUAUUAGGAGGAACACCAGUGGCGAAGGCGGCUUACUGGACGAUUACUGACGCUGAGGCUCGAAAGCGUGGGGAGCAAACAGG
This 407-nucleotide ribosomal RNA is filed under the name uncultured rumen bacterium. Its description in RNAcentral is "bacterial SSU rRNA". It matches the Rfam family "Bacterial small subunit ribosomal RNA", at positions 354 to 776 of the family's 1533-position model. The record is from RNAcentral.